ACGAACGCUGGCGGCGUGCCUAAUACAUGCAAGUCGAACGGCUUUUCUAUGGAAGCUUGCUUCCACUGAGAAGAUAGUGGCGAACGGGUGAGUAACACGUGGGUAACCUGCCCAUAAGAGGGGGAUAACAUCCGGAAACGGGUGCUAAUACCGCAUAGUUUUCUUGAUCGCAUGAUUGAGAAAGGAAAGACGGCCUUUGUGCUGUCGCUUAUGGAUGGACCCGCGGCGUAUUAGUUAGUUGGUGAGGUAACGGCUCACCAAGACGAUGAUACGUAGCCGACCUGAGAGGGUGAUCGGCCACAUUGGGACUGAGACACGGCCCAAACUCCUACGGGAGGCAGCAGUAGGGAAUCUUCCGCAAUGGACGAAAGUCUGACGGAGCAACGCCGCGUGAGUGAAAGAAGGUUUUCGGAUCGUAAAACUCUGUUGUCAGAGAAGAACAAGUUGGAGAGUAACUGCUCCAGCCUUGACGGUAUCUGACCAGAAAGCCACGGCUAACUACGUGCCAGCCGCCGC
This 516-nucleotide ribosomal RNA is filed under the name uncultured bacterium. RNAcentral describes it as "bacterial SSU rRNA". It matches the Rfam family "Bacterial small subunit ribosomal RNA", at positions 29 to 518 of the family's 1533-position model. The record is from RNAcentral.